AUAAAAACACAUCAACAAUAGAAAACCAUACCCACCUUCCCUCCCUUAUUUAAGUACUGUGGGAUGAAGGCUUUGAAGAUAAGGUACAUACUUAAUGAGAGUUGAAAUUCUUAUAUCAUACUAAGAAAUCACUAACAUAAUUCAAUAUCUAUGAGGAAUAUAAACAACUAAGGGUGGCAGAUGUGUGAGUAGCUAUCAAAUCAUUAUUCUGUUAAACAGAUGAUGCACAAAGGCAUAAGAAGUGUCUGAAUUUGGUCUAGAAAAAGGGAUGAUUCAAUCCAUCCGAACCGGCAAAACGACAAGGAAUUAUGACAUUCCACUCAUAUCUUUCAAAUUAUACAGUGAGGAAGGGGGACCAGACCAGUAGUGUACAUGUCCACCAAACUGGCCAUGAAUAGCCUCUAGCAUUCUCGGAUUUCUUUUAAGAUGUGUAGAUAUUAAGCAAGCUAUAUAUUUUUCAUCUUAUCUAAUCAAGAUUAGGAAACUAAUAAUCUCAAAUAAUUGAUUGUUAAUAUAAAG
This 519-nucleotide unclassified non-coding RNA is filed under the name Hevea brasiliensis (rubber tree). Lineage: Eukaryota; Viridiplantae; Streptophyta; Magnoliopsida; Malpighiales; Euphorbiaceae. The record is from RNAcentral.